ACAAAGCCGUCCAGUGACUCCCCUCCCCCUCCUAGAACCCCCUACGAUGAGCGGUUAUUGCCAGUCAACUUUACAAAGCGUUAUGUCAAACCAACUGAUCUGGCAAAAGAUUUUAUACCCCCAUCUGUCCCCGAGGAAGAAGAUCCCC
This is a long non-coding RNA of Saccostrea cuccullata (small rock oyster), 148 nucleotides long. RefSeq lists it as uncharacterized. NCBI's taxonomy places the organism in Eukaryota, Metazoa, Mollusca, Bivalvia, Ostreida, Ostreidae. The transcript is spliced from 3 exons. The record is from RefSeq and is a predicted model, not a curated record.